AAAACAAAAGGACCUGCACUUGCUUCAGUGUGACACAUUUUCUGUAGUACUGGCUGCUGAUUGGGACAAUAUUGGUUGCAUCCAGAAUAUCAUCCUGAACUCAGUAACUCCCUAGGAAUACCUGAGAUAGCUUCAAGGUAUUUUGUCCUAAACACACCCAAAACAUUUACAUUUUGUGUCCCCUCACCCAGGUCAUAUUUUGCCAAUAGCCAGGCUAACAUUUUGAGUUCCCUUGUGUUCUGACUUCUCUCAAAUGUUAUGAAAUGCUU
RNAcentral lists this long non-coding RNA (269 nucleotides) under Monodelphis domestica (gray short-tailed opossum). RNAcentral describes it as "lncRNA (ENSMODG00000045147.1)". The record is from RNAcentral. Lineage: Eukaryota; Metazoa; Chordata; Mammalia; Didelphimorphia; Didelphidae.